AAAUUUCCUGUAAAUUGCCAAACAUUUACAUUUUCAACAGACAUACAUUUAGAACAAACCCACAUUUAACAGCUGCAUAACAUUUGUUUAUCCAAAUAAAGUAAUAUUACUAAAAUAAAGAUGCUCUGUCCAUUUUCUGACUCAACAAAGAGGAUGAAUUCGACUCUAGACACUAGAUGCUUUUUCAUAAAAAUUAUGAAAUUGGACACAGAGACACGCUGAAAAUGAGUUUAAAAGUUUUUGUGGAGAGAAUUUUAGUUAUUCUUUUCUUAUCUGCUUAUCAGCCUAGAGAGGAGAGUAAAACUCUCAAUACAAGAUUAGUGUUUGACAAUUCCACGUAAUCUGAUUUCACUGAUCACUG
This 361-nucleotide long non-coding RNA is filed under the name Bos taurus (domestic cattle). Its description in RNAcentral is "long non-coding RNA NONBTAT026953". The record is from RNAcentral. Lineage: Eukaryota; Metazoa; Chordata; Mammalia; Artiodactyla; Bovidae.